UGUGCUGUGUGUCUCCAGGCUGCCCUCUCUAAGACCUUUGAGAAAAAAAAAGACAAGAAAUGGGAAAGAAGUGUCACAAUCUAUGCCCAGCUGGUCUGGAUUAUCUACCCUGAGGUGUAUCCGCCGGCUGCCCCUGUAUCCCAUUAUAAAUCAUCUCCCUGCUGAACAUCAGCCCAGACUGAGGGCUGAUUCAUUGACUGAGUGUUGCUACCUGGCUGCAGAAGAAGUCUAUAUCUCGGUCCUGUAAUAGUCAUCAUAUUCGAAGAAGCCUUACAUUUUUGAAUAGUUACAUAGUGUCCUCCACUGAAGAAAGAGGAAGUCUGGAGUUGGUUUCCGGUGGCAAGCAGGGAGCUGUUCCCUCUCUUUGACAUUAGCAAGUCAAGGGAGCAAGUGAUUUUUGGCUCCAUCCAUACACAGACACUUAGGAGAAAUCCAGGACAAAGAAAAAGAUGAACAAACCAUCAAUCUGAGCAAGGCCCUGAGAUGACCCAUGGGAUGUUCCAAUGUGUGAUGAUGGAAAAUGUAUUUUCUAUAAAACAGGAGUAAGAUGCUGCUACUGGACGCUGGAAGACUUUGCAUCUUCCCCCUGGGCUGUGCAUUCCCACAUGGAACACCCCCUUCCAGGGACAUCCACUGGUUCUUCUGACCCCUUGCUACAAUUCAGACCAGAUGCUUUCCUGGCUCUGGAGUCUGUCACAGUUUCCUACAUUCCUCAGGCUUCUCUUUGAUCUCUCUUUAUUCUUGCUGGUGUAAAUCCUCAAAUAACUUCCUCUGAAUGGUACGUGAAAGACCAAUUUUCUUAAUCUUUGAAUGCCUUCGAAACCUUAUUAUUUAGCAUCAUGGACCAGUAAUCAGAUUCCUAGCAAGGCUGUUUAAAUGAGUAGCUCAUUCCAAAACCUGUAGGAAGCAAAGAGCUGAGCAAUAGUCAAGACAACCUUGAGAAAGGAAAAGUCAAAGAGCUAACACAACACAACUUCAAGCCUGGAUUAAAAGCUAAAUGGUAUUCAAGAAAGAGGUAUACUGCUGAAAACAUAAUUGGUUGCAUAUCUGUAUCAUUUCUUUGGAGUAUAUGGACCAUCCCCAGACAUGAGUUUUCAGUAAUGCAAAUGUUUGGAGAUUCACCUUGGGGCCAUGUCCCACCUAGUCCAUCUUACCUGAAAAUGUACUACACCUGACCUCCUGAGGACCAUGGCUUAGCAACACAGUGAGCUUCAGGUUCUAGCUAAUCAUUUCCAUCAUUACUGGGGGUAGAUUCAGCUUUCUUCCAGGGCCAAGCAUUAGGAGAGAUACAAUACUCUAUAUAUUCCUUGCCCAUCUGAAGUCAGUUUCUAUUGAAUGUGUGUUCUUUGGCGGACAUCACAAAGUGUAAAAUCUAAUCACCAAAACAGGACCAUCUGUACAUGAGUUCUACAUUCAGCAACUCAAUGACAGUACAUGGAUCAAUCACCAAGGAACACUCUUCGUACAGUCAAGAUGUCUGUAGUACUCAACAGUGUUAUUGAGAGUCUCAGAACAUGCCCCUGCCUGCUUAUCAUCACUGAAGCUACCUAGUCAGACCAUCAUCAUCUCCCUUGUAUGUCAGUACCUGCCUCCUAUUUGCAGGUCUCCUCAGGACUUUGACAAGUCUUCAGUGAUUAUUGACUGUGCACCAAAAACCAGCCUGCUGGAUGACCACAGCACCUACACUGAACAGAAUGAUUACAGCACCUAGACUCAGGCAAGAUGACAAGAACACCUACUCUCAUGCACUACGGCCCCAGCAUUAUGCUGAACCAAGCUAGCCACAGCACCUACCUCAGAGUUUACCCUAUAGUGAGAUGUAAGCUCUCAUUUACCACAGCAAAUACUUACAAAGAGGUGACCGAGACACAGACAGCAGGGGCUACUGCAUAUCUACCAAGAGACAGUAGUGCUGGGCCAUCCGUUUACUCCUGGCAUUCUUCCAAGCACUUUAUACAGAACAUCUCAUUUAUUCCACAGCACAGCCCCAUGUUUUGACUAAUAUGAACGUCUCCUGUUUUAUUGCUGAAGCCCCCUCUGGCCACAGGCCAUGCUCAGGCAGAUGACAUAAUUGGGAGUCUUGCUGAGACUGGGUUCCUUCUAUUCCAAAUACCAUCUGAAUGUUUGUGCCUUUUCCUCCCACAGUUUCCUGUGUGGGAUUGGCGAUCAACAUCUAUAUUUUGUAACUAAGGAACCAGUUGUCAACAAAAGUAAAUACAUAGACAAAUAAAUUGCAGGCCAAAGCUUUCAUAGACUAAUGUCUAAUUGAAUGUAGGACAUGAAGGACUGGACAAAGGGAAGGAUGAUCCUUGAGCUUUGGUUAAUCGUGAUUUCCUUGACAUAGACCAAAGAAGAGUUAAAAGGAAUAGCCAGUUCUGUUUUAAAUACAUAGACCUUGAGACUCAUGGCAGAUCCAUGUUGGAAAGGCCUACUGGCUCUGUUAUACAAAGUUAUAUUUCUACAGCAUCUAUAAGCAAAUUGAAGACUGCAUUUGGACAAAGCACAGGUCAUGGAAUAAGAGGAAAUAAAAUGUGAGGAGGAAUUGAAGAUGGGUCCAUUUGGAGCUAACAUUCACCAAUCUGAUCGUCACUACCCUUACUCAUGUUUUAGGAAGAGAAACCACACAAUAAAGUAUAUGUUACAUUCUCAAACUUUUGAUAAGUAGGUCCUACAAAGGUGAAUUUAAAGGGAUGAAAAUAAAGGUAGAAAUGGCUGAGGAAACAUGCAGACACUCAUAGAGGGAGUUAGACGGAAAGGCCAGAAGAAAGGUUUUGAUGAGUGCAUCCAGAAACCAGGAAGUGAGGCCCUUCCCACCAAGCCACUGGCCCAUCUCCAAGAGCCGAUGCUGACCCAGAACUCACUCUGAGAAAGCAGAACACAGCAUGUCAUCGUACUCUUCUGGUCUGUGUCCCACAUACUUGAGUGUCUCAGGUCAUAGGAUUUGGAUAUAUUUUUAGUGUUCUGCAGCUAGCUAUCUUCAGCUAUCAUUUGGAUUAAAAAUAACUCGUGAC
Molecule: long non-coding RNA, 3011 nt
Organism: Mastomys coucha (southern multimammate mouse)
Lineage: Eukaryota; Metazoa; Chordata; Mammalia; Rodentia; Muridae
Exons: 4
Source: RefSeq, a predicted model, not a curated record